RNAcentral lists this ribosomal RNA (760 nucleotides) under uncultured archaeon. RNAcentral's name for it is "bacterial SSU rRNA". It matches the Rfam family "Archaeal small subunit ribosomal RNA", at positions 65 to 800 of the family's 1478-position model. The record is from RNAcentral.
UCUCUAAGCUAUGGUAGAGACGCGGCAUACGGCUCAGUAACACGUGGCUAACCUACCCUUAGGACGGAGACAACCCCGGGAAACUGGGGCUAAUACCCGAUAGGUGAGGAGGCCUGGAAUGGUUCCUAGUCGAAAAGGCGUUGAAACCAUGCUUUUCGACGUCGCCUAAGGAUGGGGCCGCGCCCGAUCAGGUUGUUGGUGGGGUAACGGCUCACCAAGCCUAUAACCGGUACGGGCCGUGAGAGCGGGAGCCCGGAGAUGGGCACUGAGACAAGGGCCCAGGCCCUACGGGGCGCAGCAGUCGCGAAAACUCCGCAAUGCGCGAAAGCGUGACGGGGCUACCCCGAGUGCCGUCCGCUGAGGAUGGCUUUUCCCCGGUGUAAUGAGCCGGGGGAAUAAGGAGAGGGCAAGUCUGGUGUCAGCCGCCGCGGUAAUACCAGCUCUCCGAGUGGUAGGGAUGAUUAUUGGGCUUAAAGCGUCCGUAGCCGGCUUAGCAAGUCUCCUGUUAAAUUCAGCGACCUAAUCGUUGAGCCGCGGGAGACACUACUAGGCUAGGAGGCGGGAGAGGCCGACGGUAUUCUCGGGGUAGGGGUGAAAUCCUAUAAUCCCGGGAGGACCACCAGUGGCGAAGGCUGUCGGCUAGAACGCGCUCGACGGUGAGGGACGAAAGCUGGGGGAGCGAACCGGAUUAGAUACCCGGGUAGUCCCAGCUGUAAACGAUGCGGGCUAGGUGUUGGGGUGGCUACGAGCCACUUCAGUG